Molecule: ribosomal RNA, 505 nt
Filed under: uncultured bacterium
Lineage: Bacteria
Description: partial 16S ribosomal RNA
Rfam family: Bacterial small subunit ribosomal RNA
Source: RNAcentral
GACGAACGCUGGCGGCGUGCCUAAUACAUGCAAGUAGAACGCACAGUUUAUACCGUAGCUUGCUACACCAUAAACUGUGAGUUGCGAACGGGUGAGUAACGCGUAGGUAACCUGCCUGGUAGCGGGGGAUAACUAUUGGAAACGAUAGCUAAUACCGCAUAAUAUUAAUUAUUGCAUGAUAAUUGAUUGAAAGAUGCAAUUGCAUCACUACCAGAUGGACCUGCGUUGUAUUAGCUAGUAGGUGAGGUAACGGCUCACCUAGGCGACGAUACAUAGCCGACCUGAGAGGGUGAUCGGCCACACUGGGACUGAGACACGGCCCAGACUCCUACGGGAGGCAGCAGUAGGGAAUCUUCGGCAAUGGACGAAAGUCUGACUGAGCAACGCCGCGUGAGUGAAGAAGGUUUUCGGAUCGUAAAGCUCUGUUGUAAGAGAAGAACGGGUGUGAGAGUGGAAAGUUCACACUGUGACGGUAUCUUACCAGAAAGGGACGGCUAACUACGUG